UGGGGAAUAUUGCACAAUGGGCGCAAGCCUGAUGCAGCCAUGCCGCGUGUGUGAAGAAGGCCUUCGGGUUGUAAAGCACUUUCAUCGGGGAGGAAGGCGAUAAGGUUAAUAACCUUGUCUAUUGACGUUACCCGCAGAAGAAGCACCGGCUCACUCCGUGCCAGCAGCCGCGGUAAUACGGAGGGUGCAAGCGUUAAUCGGAAUUACUGGGGGUAAAGCGCACGCAGGCGGUCUGUCAAGUCGGAUGUGAAAUCCCCGGGCUCAACCGAGAAACUGCAUUCGAAACUGGCAGGAUAGAGUAUUGUAGGGGGGGGUAGAAUUCCAGGUGUAGCGGUGAAAUGCGUAGAGAUCUGGAGGAAUACCGGUGGCGAAGGCGGCCCCCUGGACAAAGACUGACGCUCAGGUGCGAAAGAGUGGGGAGCAAACAGG
This 429-nucleotide ribosomal RNA is filed under the name Chloroflexota bacterium. RNAcentral describes it as "Chloroflexi bacterium partial 16S ribosomal RNA". It matches the Rfam family "Bacterial small subunit ribosomal RNA", at positions 355 to 776 of the family's 1533-position model. The record is from RNAcentral. Lineage: Bacteria; Bacillati; Chloroflexota.